UACGGCCACAUCUGUUGAAACAUCUGCUCCCGUACUAUCACCGAAGCUAAGCAACGUCGAGCCUGGUCAAUACUUAGAUGGGUGACCGCUUGGGAAAAUCAGGUGCUGUAAU
Non-coding RNA from Acanthosepion pharaonis, 112 nucleotides. NCBI's taxonomy places the organism in Eukaryota, Metazoa, Mollusca, Cephalopoda, Sepiida, Sepiidae. The record is from the annotation of a GenBank genome assembly.